This 454-nucleotide ribosomal RNA is filed under the name uncultured organism. Its description in RNAcentral is "partial 16S ribosomal RNA". It matches the Rfam family "Bacterial small subunit ribosomal RNA", at positions 330 to 800 of the family's 1533-position model. The record is from RNAcentral.
CGUACACUCCUGCGGGAGGCAGCAGUGGGGAAUAUUGGACAAUGGGCGCAAGCCUGAUCCAGCCAUGCCGCGUGAGUGAUGAAGGCCCUAGGGUUGUAAAGCUCUUUCACCGGUGAAGAUAAUGACGGUAACCGGAGAAGAAGCCCCGGCUAACUUCGUGCCAGCAGCCGCGGUAAUACGAAGGGGGCUAGCGUUGUUCGGAUUUACUGGGCGUAAAGCGCACGUAGGCGGACUAUUAAGUCAGGGGUGAAAUCCCGGGGCUCAACCCCGGAACUGCCUUUGAUACUGGUAGUCUUGAGUUCGAGAGAGGUGAGUGGAAUUCCGAGUGUAGAGGUGAAAUUCGUAGAUAUUCGGAGGAACACCAGUGGCGAAGGCGGCUCACUGGCUCGAUACUGACGCUGAGGUGCGAAAGCGUGGGGAGCAAACAGGAUUAGAAACCCCAGUAGUCCCAUGA